GCUUAUGGCCACACACCCUGAACACACCUGAUCUCAUCUGCUUUUAGAAGCUAAGCAGGAUUGGGUCUGGUUAGUACUUGGAUGAGAGCUCACCUGGCAAUACAAGGUGCUGUAAGGU
This 118-nucleotide ribosomal RNA is filed under the name Amphilophus citrinellus (Midas cichlid). The record is from RNAcentral. Lineage: Eukaryota; Metazoa; Chordata; Actinopteri; Cichliformes; Cichlidae.